GACGAACGCUGGCGGCGUGCCUAAUACAUGCAAGUCGAGCGGACAGACGGGAGCUUGCUCCCUGAUGUUAGCGGCGGACGGGUGAGUAACACGUGGGUAACCUGCCUGUAAGACUGGGAUAACUCCGGGAAACCGGGGCUAAUACCGGAUGGUUGUCUGAACCGCAUGGUUCAGACAUAAAAGGUGGCUUCGGCUACCACUUACAGAUGGACCCGCGGCGCAUUAGCUAGUUGGUGAGGUAACGGCUCACCAAGGCAACGAUGCGUAGCCGACCUGAGAGGGUGAUCGGCCACCCUUGGACUGGGACACGGCCCAGACUCCUACGGGGGGCAGCAGUAGGGAAUCUUCCGCAAUGGACGAAAGUCUGACGGAGCAACGCCGCGUGAGUGAUGAAGGUUUUCGGAUCGUAAAGCUCUGUUGUUAGGGAAGAACAAGUGCCGUUCAAAUAGGGCGGCACCUUGACGGUACCUAACCAGAAAGCCACGGCUAACUACGUG
Molecule: ribosomal RNA, 497 nt
Filed under: uncultured bacterium
Lineage: Bacteria
Description: partial 16S ribosomal RNA
Rfam family: Bacterial small subunit ribosomal RNA
Source: RNAcentral